UACGAAGGGGGCUAGCGUUGUUCGGAAUUACUGGGCGUAAAGCGUGCGCAGGCGGUGAUGUAAGACAGAUGUGAAAUCCCCGGGCUCAACCUGGGAACUGCAUUUGUGACUGCAUCGCUGGAGUACGGCAGAGGGGGAUGGAAUUCCGCGUGUAGCAGUGAAAUGCGUAGAUAUGCGGAGGAACACCGAUGGCGAAGGCAAUCCCCUGGGCCUGUACUGACGCUCAUGCACGAAAGCGUGGGGAGCAAACAGG
This 253-nucleotide ribosomal RNA is filed under the name uncultured bacterium. RNAcentral describes it as "partial 16S ribosomal RNA". It matches the Rfam family "Bacterial small subunit ribosomal RNA", at positions 524 to 776 of the family's 1533-position model. The record is from RNAcentral.